This 2904-nucleotide long non-coding RNA is filed under the name Gallus gallus (chicken). RNAcentral's name for it is "long non-coding RNA NONGGAT007807". The record is from RNAcentral. Lineage: Eukaryota; Metazoa; Chordata; Aves; Galliformes; Phasianidae.
GCCUAUAGGAGGGAGCACCAAGUUGUCUCAGAACCAUGUCUUCUUCUGUAUGCUGACAUCAUUUUAGUUUGCCAGGUCAGAAGGUGGCUGUGUCUACUCCUGCUGGAUUAUUCACUUCUACACUCCCGGGACAGAUAGGCAGCAUUAUGUGAUCACAAAAUCCUCACCCCACAAAGCUGGCUGCGGGAAUUCCGCUACGUGGUGUGCUUCGAGAUGAACCACGAAGAACGAGAAUGGACCAAAGUCACUUCAUUUUCCUAGUCAAAAUUCAACUAUAUUAAAUAUGAAGCAAUGUUCCAGGUGUAAUUCUGCUCCUGCAUGGCAGCCCUAGCUCAGCAGGGGCCACCGUUCUGCAUUAAGGCAGCCACACCAUGGGCAAAAGGCUCCACUUUCGAUGUAUGUACAGUAGCCCCUUUUUAUCCAUUCACAUAGAAGGAACCAUACACCGGUUAUUUAGGAAAAGCUUAAUAUCAAAUGGCAAUUUUGUUUUCUUGCAUUGUCCAUUAUUUAAUUAAAACAACUGCCUGCAGACUCGCACAAUGGCAGCUGAGCUGGAAGCACACCAGUGACUGUUGCUGUGCCACUCGCACUACGCGGACACGAUAAAUGCGCUUCUACCAAUUCCUCUCAAUAGCUACCAGCUUUUUUCUUACCUCAAAAAUAAAGUUCCUGUGACUCAGAUCCAUCAAACCAGACAGGUCUGGGCAGCAGUUAACACACAAUGCAGAAUUAGGUCACAUCUUCAGAAUCUACAAGAGCUCUUUCUUGCUUGGGUCUCAGAACUGAAAAGUCGCUACUGAUGGAAGAAAACCCUGACCACAGAGAGAGGUGGAAGGGGGACUGGAUGGGCUGGGUUCAACUCAGAGACACUGCAUUUUCAGCAAGAAGAAAAAGUUUCAUUGUUAUUAGUUACAGAGUAAUGAGAGGGCACAGUUUUAAAGCAAACAAGCUACUGAAGCACUCCUGACCAUUUUUACCAAGAAAGGAAGAUGAAACAGAACUCUAUAGUUCAUUUACCGAAGCCUUCUUCAGAAGUCAAUUAAAUCCAGCAACAACUGGAAGGUCUUUCUUGCAAGAUUACAUCCACUAAGCAAGUUGCACGUUACCUUUUGGACAUCUUUUUCCAGGGAUUAUUUUCAGUCUUUAAUAAGAAAGACAAAUGGUUCACAUGCAAAUGUGUGCUUUAUAAGCACACAGAAAGUAGUAGGGAUGGCGUAACACAGUCUUUUUCAAGAGGAUCAAGCAAAGAGAAAUAAGCACUAAUCUAAUAUUGCAUUUGUAAUGCAACCAUAAUUGAGAAGUGAAGAGUCAUUUAUUUUCCUACAGCUCCAGUUGUAGUUGUACCAGUAGAAACUGGGAGCACGUGCUGAAACGCAGCGCGGUGCCCAAUUCCGCAGGGACUACAACCAGCUCUGGAAUACACGUAGGUUCCAAGACCAGGCACAUGGAUUCCCUCAGCCCUGGUUUCAUCUUCCACACCGUGCAUAUUCCCUGCAGCCAAAGCACCACGGAGGUGACAUACGAGUAUGGGAACAGUGGGAACUCCCACUGCAGCCCUUGUUCUAAAUGAUUUCUGCAGCUGUGAGCAGGCAGGGCACAGGGACACCAAACUGGAGAGAACGGUACGAUCAGUGUGUGCACAACUACAGGCAUUUCAGAAACCGCCUAAAACUUAGCAAGUAUCACCUUAAAACAUGACCAAGUUCCAGCAAUGCAAUUGCUAUCCCGAAAUUCACUUCUGUGCCACAGGUCAGCGUUGUGAGUUCCUCUGAGCACUUCGGCUUCCAAAAUCAUCUCAGACCACAGACGUUCAUACAAGGAAAACAAGAAUAAAGGUCAGGACUUCAGGUGUGAAAGUUUUACAGAAGAGGGCAAGAAUUCCAGGUGGGUCCUGAGUAGCAAGAAAGAUUCUAUGGAGCUUUGCCACAGUAAAGAAGCUUUAGGAGGUCUUGUUUAGAAAAGCACGCAACUGCUCCAAAAAGUAAGCUUUGGUACAAUAACUACUAUGUCAGACUACGAUCCAUAAUACAAAGGCUGUGGGACUGGAAUAUUUCUGACAGCAUUCUCCAGGAAUAAGGUUAUAACAACCUCAAAAGUUCCUGCCUGGAAACAAAGGAUAAAGGGAUCAGAGCACAGCGUUUUGUGUGGUGGAACCACCCAGCCUGGGCAGGCGGGCGCUGAAGGAUGGAACAAAACCUGCAGCACCUCAUUAGAGCAACAAAAACCACUGCUGCUUAAUAGCUGUGACAGAGAAAGUGAAUAACAGAGAUGGCACAGCUUCAGAUCUGCUGUGCUGAAGAACACAUACCACACCUCAGCUUAGUUGAAGAACAAACAGAUCAUACUCAGCAUGCAACAGAGACAAAUCAAGAGAUUGUUCAAAAAAGUUUUGAAAAUAAAUGCAGUCUUUUAUUAGCACUGUUAUUUUGUCAGCACGUGACGCUGGCAGGGGGUGAGAAACAGAGCAGUUACGAAACUCAAGUCGGGAACUGGAUAAAACCACCUUCAUCAGAACCUCAGAGAGAGCCCCAAGGAGGUGCUGCAUCACUGCUGUUCCACUGGGCCUCUCCGGCAAAGGGCUGGGUUGUUUUUCUGCCAUCAGUUAGCAAUGUGGCAGCAUCACGCGUGCUGUUUCAGGGCACGCUGCCACACCACACUGAUCCAUGCAUUCUCUGGCUUCCCAAAACACAUAGCACUCUGUGUAUUUAGUAAAAACUUUGAGGACAUAUCAAUAGGCUAGCGUGGGAAUAAAAAGCUGUAACAAAUGCAAUCAAAAUGACCAUUUCCAUCCAAUUGCACAGCUCUCAGCCCUGUGGUCUACUCAGAAAGCCCUGCGGAGACCAGCCCUGGCAAUUCCUGAGAUGGCAGGGAGUUGUUUUUAAGAAGUGCUGUGAUUUGUUUUUU